UACGUAGGGUGCAAGCGUUAUCCGGAUUUACUGGGCGUAAAGGGUCCGUCGGCGACCUAGAAAGUCUUUUGUUUAAGCCUGUGGCUUAACUGCAGAAAGGCAAAAGAAACUUCUAGGAUUGAGUAUGUUAGGGGAAGCUGGAAUUCUCGGUGGAGGGGUGAAAUCCGUAGAUAUCGAGAGGAACGCCAAUCGCGAAGGCAAGCUUCUAUGACAUUACUGACGCUCAUGGACGAAAGCUAGGGUAGCAAAAGGGAUUAGAGACCCCUGUAGUCCUAGCCGUAAACACUCCUUGCUAGAUGCUUGUCCCGCCGAAUAUAUUUUUCAAAGUAUAUUGGGCGGGAUGAGUGUCGUAAGCUAACGCGUUAAGCAAGGCGCCUGGGGAGUACGACCGCAAGGUUAAAACUCAAAGGAAUUGACGGGGGAGCGCACAACCGGUGGAGCAUGUGGUUUAAUUCGACACAAAGCGAAAAACCUUACCCGGGUUUGACAUGUACCUGCACGGUCUAGGAAACUAGAUCUUCUUCGAGAGUGGCACACAGGUGAUGCAUGGCUGUCGUCAGCUCGUGUCGUGAGACGUCCUCUUAAGUGAGGUAACGAGCGCAACCCUUGUUGCUAGUUAUAUUUGUCUAGCAAGACUGCUCUGCAUUUUGCAGGGAGGAAGGAGAGGAUGACGUCAAGUCAGCAUGUCCCUUACAUCCGGGGCUACACACAUCCUACAAUGGAGCCGACAACGGGUAGCGACAGCGUAAGCUCGAGCUAAUCCUCUAAACGGCCCCUCAGUUCGGAUUGAGGGCUGAAAUUCGCCCUCAUGAAGCCGGAAUCGGUAGUAAUCGCAAAUCAGCAGGUUGCGGUGAAUACGUUCUCGCUCCU
This 870-nucleotide ribosomal RNA is filed under the name uncultured bacterium. Its description in RNAcentral is "SSU rRNA". It matches the Rfam family "Bacterial small subunit ribosomal RNA", at positions 524 to 1381 of the family's 1533-position model. The record is from RNAcentral.